RNAcentral lists this ribosomal RNA (497 nucleotides) under uncultured bacterium. RNAcentral's name for it is "partial 16S ribosomal RNA". It matches the Rfam family "Bacterial small subunit ribosomal RNA", at positions 28 to 507 of the family's 1533-position model. The record is from RNAcentral.
GAUGAACGCUGGCGGCGUGCCUAAUACAUGCAAGUCGAGCGAACGGACGAGAAGCUUGCUUCUCUGAUGUUAGCGGCGGACGGGUGAGUAACACGUGGAUAACCUACCUAUAAGACUGGGAUAACUUCGGGAAACCGGAGCUAAUACCGGAUAAUAUUUUGGACCGCAUGGUUCAAAAGUGAAAGACGGUCCUGCUGUCACUUAUAGAUGGAUCCGCGCUGCAUUAGCUAGUUGGUAAGGUAACGGCUUACCAAGGCAACGAUGCAUAGCCGACCUGAGAGGGUGAUCGGCCACACUGGAACUGAGACACGGUCCAGACUCCUACGGGAGGCAGCAGUAGGGAAUCUUCCGCAAUGGGCGAAAGCCUGACGGAGCAACGCCGCGUGAGUGAUGAAGGUCUUCGGAUCGUAAAACUCUGUUAUUAGGGAAGAACAUAUGUGUAAGUAACUGUGCACAUCUUGACGGUACCUAAUCAGAAAGCCACGGCUAACUACGUG